RNAcentral lists this ribosomal RNA (481 nucleotides) under uncultured bacterium. Its description in RNAcentral is "partial 16S ribosomal RNA". It matches the Rfam family "Bacterial small subunit ribosomal RNA", at positions 28 to 507 of the family's 1533-position model. The record is from RNAcentral.
GAUGAACGCUGGCGGCGUGCCUAACACAUGCAAGUCGAACGGAGAUUACGGACGGAAGUUUUCGGAUGGAAGACUGUAAUUCUUAGUGGCGGACGGGUGAGUAACGCGUGGGCAACCUGCCCUAUACAGGGGGAUAGCAGCUGGAAACGGCUGGUAAGACCGCAUAAGUCGGCGAGACCGCAUGGUUUUGCCGGGAAAUGAGCAAUCAGGUAUAGGAUGGGCCCGCGUCCGAUUAGCCAGUUGGCAGGGUAAAAGCCUACCAAAGCAACGAUCGGUAGCCGGACUGAGAGGUCGGACGGCCACAGUGGGACUGAGACACGGCCCAAACUCCUACGGGAGGCAGCAGUGGGGGAUAUUGCACAAUGGAGGAAACUCUGAUGCAGCGACGCCGCGUGAGUGAAGAAGUAUUUCGGUAUGUAAAGCUCUAUCAGCAGGGAAGAUGAUGACGGUACCUGACGAAGAAGCCCCGGCUAACUACGUG